Molecule: ribosomal RNA, 428 nt
Filed under: Micrococcus luteus
Lineage: Bacteria; Bacillati; Actinomycetota; Actinomycetes; Micrococcales; Micrococcaceae
Description: bacterial SSU rRNA
Rfam family: Bacterial small subunit ribosomal RNA
Source: RNAcentral
GAUGAACGCUGGCGGCGUGCUUAACACAUGCAAGUCGAACGAUGAAGCCCAGCUUGCUGGGCGGAUUAGUGGCGAACGGGUGAGUAACACGUGAGUAACCUGCCCUUGACUCUGGGAUAAGCCCGGGAAACUGGGUCUAAUACCGGAUAGGAGCGCCUGUCGCAUGACGGGUGCUGGAAAGAUCUUUCGGUCAUGGAUGGACUCGCGGCCUAUCAGCUUGUUGGUGAGGUAACGGCUCACCAAGGCGACGACGGGUAGCCGGCCUGAGAGGGUGACCGGCCACACUGGGACUGAGACACGGCCCAGACUCCUACGGGAGGCAGCAGUGGGGAAUAUUGCACAAUGGGCGGAAGCCUGAUGCAGCGACGCCGCGUGAGGGAUGACGGCCUUCGGGUUGUAAACCUCUUUCAGUAGGGAAAGAAAGCGAA